This 502-nucleotide ribosomal RNA is filed under the name uncultured bacterium. RNAcentral describes it as "bacterial SSU rRNA". It matches the Rfam family "Bacterial small subunit ribosomal RNA", at positions 30 to 525 of the family's 1533-position model. The record is from RNAcentral.
AUUGAACGCUGGCGGCGUGCCUAACACAUGCAAGUCGAGCGGUAACAGGUGUAGCAAUACAUGCUGACGAGCGGCGAACGGGUGAGUAAUGCUUCGGAAUCUACCUUAUGGUGGGGAAUAACUAGCCGAAAGGUUAGCUAAUACCGCAUACGUCCUACGGGAGAAAGCAGGGGAUCGUAAGACCUUGCGCCAAAAGAUGAGCCGAAGUCGGAUUAGCUAGUUGGUAGGGUAACGGCCACCAAGGCGACGAUCCGUAGCUGGUCUGAGAGGACGACCAGCCACACUGGGACUGAGACACGGCCCAGACUCCUACGGGAGGCAGCAGUGGGGAAUAUUGGACAAUGGGGGAAACCCUGAUCCAGCGACGCCGCGUGUGUGAAGAAGGCCUGCGGGUUGUAAAGCACUUUUAGUGGGGAUGAAAUGUGCAGGGUUAACACCUCUGCAUUUUGACCUAACCCACAGAAAAGCACCGGCUAACUCUGUGGCAGCCGCCGCGGGUAAC